RNAcentral lists this ribosomal RNA (740 nucleotides) under uncultured bacterium. RNAcentral describes it as "bacterial SSU rRNA". It matches the Rfam family "Bacterial small subunit ribosomal RNA", at positions 651 to 1389 of the family's 1533-position model. The record is from RNAcentral.
GGAGAGGAAAGNGGAAUUCCUAGUGUAGCGGUGAAAUGCGUAGAUAUUAGGAAGAACACCAGUGGCGAAGGCGACUUUCUGGACGAAAACUGACGCUGAGGCGCGAAAGCCAGGGGAGCGAACGGGAUUAGAUACCCCGGUAGUCCUGGCCGUAAACGAUGGGUACUAGGUGUAGGAGGUAUCGACCCCUUCUGUGCCGGAGUUAACGCAAUAAGUACCCCGCUUGGGGAGUACGACCGCAAGGUUGAAACUCAAAGGAAUUGACGGGGGCCCGCACAAGCGGUGGUGUAUGUGGUUUAAUUCGACGCAACGCGAAGAACCUUACCAGGUCUUGACAUUGAUGGACAGAACCAGAGAUGGUUCCUCUUCUUCGGAAGCCAGAAAACAGGUGGUGCACGGUUGUCGUCAGCUCGUGUCGUGAGAUGUUGNNNNAAGNCCCGCAACGAGCGCAACCCCUAUCUUAUGUUGCCAGCACUUUGGGUGGGGACUCAUGAGAGACUGCCGCAGACAAUGCGGAGGAAGGCGGGGAUGACGUCAAAUCAUCAUGCCCCUUAUGACCUGGGCUACACACGUACUACAAUGGGAGUUAAUAGACGGAAGCGAGAUCGCGAGAUGGAGCAAACCCGAGAAACACUCUCUCAGUUCGGAUCGUAGGCUGCAACUCGCCUACGUGAAGUCGGAAUCGCUAGUAAUCGCAGGUCAGCAUACUGCGGUGAAUACGUUCCCGGGCCUUGUNCACA